Molecule: ribosomal RNA, 307 nt
Filed under: uncultured fungus
Lineage: Eukaryota; Fungi
Description: SSU rRNA
Rfam family: Eukaryotic small subunit ribosomal RNA
Source: RNAcentral
AAAGAUUAAGCCAUGCAUGUCUAAGUAUACGCAAAUUAUACUGUGAAACUGCGAAUGGCUCAUUAAAUCAGUUAUAGUUUAUUUGAUGUUUCUUGCUACAUGGAUAACUGUGGUAAUUUUAGAUCUAAUACAUGCGUAAAAAGCCCCGACUUCUGGAAGGGGUGUAUUUAUUAGAUAAAAACCAUCCUCCUCGGAGUUUGGUGAUUCAUAAUAACUUCUCGAAUCGCACGGCCUUGUGCUGGCGAUGCUUCAUUCAAAUAUCUGCCCUAUCAACUGUCGAUGGUAGGAUAGAGGCCCACCAUGGUUG